AUUGAACGCUGGCGGCAUGCUUUACACAUGCAAGUCGAACGGUAACAGGCCUUCGGGUGCUGACGAGUGGCGAACGGGUGAGUAAUGCAUCGGAACGUACCCAGAGGUGGGGGAUAACGCAGCGAAAGCUGUGCUAAUACCGCAUGUGAUCUGAGGAUGAAAGCGGGGUACCGAGCAGCAAUGUUUGGCCUCGCGCCUUUGGAGCGGCCGAUGUCGGAUUAGCUAGUUGGUGGGGUAAAGGCCUACCAAGGCGGCGAUCCGUAGCUGGUCUGAGAGGACGACCAGCCACACUGGGACUGAGACACGGCCCAGACUCCUACGGGAGGCAGCAGUGGGGAAUUUUGGACAAUGGGCGCAAGCCUGAUCCAGCAAUGCCGCGUGCGGGAAGAAGGCCUUCGGGUUGUAAACCGCUUUUGGCAGGAACGAAACGGUGUCCGCUAAUACCGGGCGCUAAUGACGGUACCUGCAGAAUAAGCACCGGCUAACUACGUG
This 492-nucleotide ribosomal RNA is filed under the name uncultured bacterium. RNAcentral's name for it is "partial 16S ribosomal RNA". It matches the Rfam family "Bacterial small subunit ribosomal RNA", at positions 30 to 507 of the family's 1533-position model. The record is from RNAcentral.